CAGGUCCAGCUGUGCUCCAAGAUUAUCUUUCCUUCUAUAGCUCACUAGACCUUCUUAUGCUCACAGGAGUGCCAUCCCUCACUCCAGAGCCAUCCUCAGAAUUCUAAAGCAGAAUUAGAAAAAUCCUUGCUCUACCAGCCUGGGCAACAUAAGGAGAUCCUGCCUCUACAAAAAAUGAAAUGUAGUCCCAGCUACUCAGGAGGCAGAGGUAGGAGGAUCACUGGAGCCCAAGAGUUCGAGGCUACAGUGAGCUAUGAUCGAGCUGUUGCACCCCAGCCUGGGCCACAGAGCGAGACCCGCCUCUAAAGCAAUAAUAAUAGUGAAAAAUUUUUAAAUAAAUAAAAAAGAAAAAUUCUCACUCUUUAGCUAUUGAAUUUUGUGGCGGUGAUUUCUUCAGAAACUGCCUCUUCCCACCCCCACUCCACCCACAGAGAGGAUGAGCUACAUCCGUACAGAGCCUGGCACUCCGGAUGCUGGCGGAAUUGAUUCAGUAGCAUGAGCAGGAAGGUCCAUUUGAAGAGAUCACUCCAAAACAGCGGUUCGCAACAAGGUAGUAAAGCUUGACAGAAUUGUUGUGGGUGAGAUGUGAGCUAAAAAUAUUGAGAACCAGGACCUAGCAGAUUGUCUGCUAAUGGUUCAUGCAGGACAGAAAAAGGAGAGACAAAGGACUGUCAGGAGAGUGACCGGUCCAAAUGAGGACUCAGGAACCCCCAGUGGAUCCAGAGAGAAAAACACUCUGGGGCUUUCUUCCAUGUCCCGUUGGCCAGAGCAGACCCUGGAAAGAAGCCCUCCCCAAGGCGCCUUGUUGACUACGGCCAAGACCUGGCCCAGUGCUGGACACCAGUCUAUGUCAAGAAAGGCACAAAAAGGACCAACAAAUAAUACUGACAUGGUGCUUUGGAUCCAGGAGGCCUUGCGGUACCAGGAGAGGAAUACUGAUGGUCCCAUCUGGAGAAUGGGAAAGGUGAGGCAUUGAGAGGGUGAAAUACUUUCAGGCAUAGUUGAGGGGGUACCAGGAAAUUUAACGGGGAGACUCUAUUUCCUGGGGGCAGGUGGAGAAGGUACACGGCCAUUGAUAGUGAACACAACUCUCAACAAAGAGGUAAUUCCAGCUCUUCGGCCACCACAGUAAAGCAGCCAAGGAUACCCUAAUUGUCCUCAGAGAAGUGAUGAUUCCUUCACAGAGGGAAUCCUACACUCCAAACUCUCUGGGGCCCACCCUUGAGACUGCAUGCAGGGCUGGAGAUUUAGGCAGGAACAGCCUGGGCAGGCACGUAAGGUAGCUCUGCUUCUUAAGGCAUGACUGCUGUCUUCAUGGAGUGGGCCCCACCCUGCAAGGAAGCUUAAUGGAAUAGAACACUGCUGCCAAAGGAAUCCACCCCCUCCAGGGGCUGGGGGCUUCUAUUAAAGCUAAACAGCAUCACCAAACCAACCAAUUUCCUGUGCCGCUUGGUAGAAUAAGGAGGGAGGGGGCAAAGGACAAAAAUCGAACAUUAUCUGCAGAUGAUUGUCUAACUAGAAAAUCCAAGGGACUGAACUGAAAAACUAUCAAAACUGGUGAGAAUUUGGUCAGGUGGCCGAUUAAAAGUCAGGUCUAAAAAAUCAACUGUUUUUUGGAUCAUUUGGGCAUUGCUUGACACCCUGGAGGAGCUGUGUUUUUCUGCGAGGCCUCCGCGCUUUGUGCAGCUUGCCAUAUUUUGAAAGAUGGAGGUGAGCCAGGGUGAUGUUCCCUCAGCAGUAGCAACUCUGUCUCAGACACCAAUGUCGAACAGGUGCCUGGGGCAACUGCUGCAGAAGGGGUGGGGACAACCACCUCUGCCCUCUCCUGGGGGUCUCUCUCACCAGUCCUGAUCAGCCCCUUUCCCCCAAGCUUCUCUAUUCCAGCCCAAGAGACACAUAGGGAAGUCUGGCAAGGGUCAGUGCAGGAGCCAUCAAGGGUGGAUGCGGGCAGAUUGUGCUGUCAUCUCCAAACGAAGUAAGUUUUAAAAACAAAGAGGGCCAGCUGAUAGGUCCCACAUGUCUGUACUGUUGUUGCCUCAUUGGUCAGAAGCCUUGAGAGGCCACCGCGCUGCGCACUGAGCAGGGACUCCCACGAUGGUCAAAGUGGUCCAGGGAGGCCCCACGGGGCUGUGCUUGCCAAUCUGACUAGCGAAGAGUUGCAGUUAUUUGCGGUCCAGGCUGGCGUGUAGCUGGGCUUCCCGCACCAUACGGUCGAAGGAACGUGUGUUGGUCUCCUCCCGCACCUUCUCGCGCACGUGGAAGGAGGCCCGGGCUGUGGAGCGGGAGCUCUCUAGCGCACUGCGCCGUUCCCGCGACAAUUGCUCGCUGCGCUCCAGCUUGCGCCCGAUGGCCUGGAGUAGCUCUCGCCGGCGGCAGUCUUCGUCCCUCUCCACCUUCUCUUUGUUGGCACGCUGGGCUCGUUCCUUCUCCAGCCGGCUCUGGCCCACGCGCCGCGCCUUCUGCUGCACUGCUUCCUCGGCCACCUGCGUCGCGUGCUGCAGCCGUCGCUCCCCCGCCCGGGCC
This 2523-nucleotide long non-coding RNA is filed under the name Macaca fascicularis (crab-eating macaque). RNAcentral describes it as "lncRNA (ENSMFAG00000060527.1)". Lineage: Eukaryota; Metazoa; Chordata; Mammalia; Primates; Cercopithecidae. The record is from RNAcentral.